UCUCCGUUAUGUACAAAAGCGGAGACCGACCGCCAGCGCGGCUUCGACUCUCAGCGCGCGGAAGCGAUCCCGGGGUCCAGUGGGCCCGCUUUAGCCACGCCUCCGCGGGCGGGAAAAGGCGGGGAAUUCAAAUUAGGAACGGCGUUGGGUGAGAGCGACGAAGCGUCGACAGAAACACAGAUUCUCUUUUAAAAGUUCUUUCUUCGAUGGAAGGCUGCUACGAGAUCCAUCGCGGGAAGCCCAUACCCCCACGUGGCGUAUCUCCUGAACCGCGCUUCUUUUUACCUUCUGCCCCGGUAAGACGUUUACCUAACCUCAUCAUCGUUCGUGGUACGAGACGGACGUCGCCACGUAGUGAAAAGCCGAGGCUUCACGGCCCCGGAAGGGUGGCGUCUGAACCUGACGGUCCGUGGGCUAUUAUUCCGUAUAGGAUGCCGGGACGGCUGGGUAGCCAUCCAGAAAAAGUAACGUCAGACUUAUACUCCCAAUUCCUGCACUAGGACGGAUACGAAGAAGUGUGAUCUGUGCUCGAGGUGGAAAUGCAAAAUGAUGAACAAUUGAAAGGACAACGGGCAAAGAAUAGAGACACUCAGUAACUUGACCAAACUCACAAGAAGCCGGUGCGUGAACCGGAAUGAGAAACCAUUAAUCUGCAAUGGGAAAUACUCCUUUGCGAUGACAGAACACGCAUGUCUGCCAUCCCAGGCACCUCGCUGCACAGAUCAAGAUGCCCGUGACGUUCCGUGAGGGAGCCCGGUGGGGCGCCUGGCUGGCUCCGUCAGAAGAGCAUGGGACUCUCGAUGAUCUCAGGGUCGUGAGUUCAGACCCCAUGUUGGGCAUGGAGCCUACUUUAAAUAAAUAAAUAAAUAAAUAAAUAAAUAAAUAAAUA
This 889-nucleotide long non-coding RNA is filed under the name Felis catus (domestic cat). RNAcentral's name for it is "lncRNA (ENSFCAG00000046145.2)". The record is from RNAcentral. Lineage: Eukaryota; Metazoa; Chordata; Mammalia; Carnivora; Felidae.